RNAcentral lists this ribosomal RNA (257 nucleotides) under uncultured bacterium. RNAcentral describes it as "partial 16S ribosomal RNA". It matches the Rfam family "Bacterial small subunit ribosomal RNA", at positions 524 to 776 of the family's 1533-position model. The record is from RNAcentral.
GACGAAGGGGGCUAGCGUUGUUCGGAAUUACUGGGCGUAAAGCGCGCGUAGGUGGUGUGUUAAGUCUGCCGGUCAAAUGCCGAGGCUCAACCUCGUGCCCGCCGGGGAUACUGGCACGCUGGAGACACGUAGAGGCAAGCGGAAUUCCGGGGUGUAGCGGUGGAAUGCGUAGAGAUCCGGAAGAACACCGGGAGGCGAAGGCGGCUUGCUGGGCGUGAUCUGACGCUGAGGCGCGAAAAGCGUGGGGAGCGAACAGG